GGUUGGUCCGAGUGCAGUGGUGUUUACAACUAAUUGAUCACAACCAGUUACACAUUCCUUUGUUCCUUCUCCACUCCCACUGCUCCAGUUGACCAGCCUUAA
Microcebus murinus (gray mouse lemur) is the source of this 102-nucleotide unclassified non-coding RNA. It matches the Rfam family "Y RNA". Rfam says of the family: Y RNAs are components of the Ro ribonucleoprotein particle (Ro RNP), in association with Ro60 and La proteins. The record is from Ensembl. Lineage: Eukaryota; Metazoa; Chordata; Mammalia; Primates; Cheirogaleidae.